GCUACUCAGUGACUUUCUGAUGGGCUUGGGUGGGCUCAUGGGGCUUGACGUUGCUCUCAAUCACAGUACCCAAAGCUCCAUAGAUUUUGCGGUAGAAUUUAUUCAUUGAUUGACUAUGCUUUCUCAGCUAUCAAAGAUCCCCAAUUCCCAAAUAAUAUAAUAAUAAAACUGAAAGUACGUAAGUUUUUCUGUUUCAAGAAAGCAGGGAUGGGACUGUCUCCUCUCUACAGUGUAUGAUUCAAAAUGUUCCCCCCAUUCCAGUCACUUCCCGAAACGUAAUAAAUACCGAAAUAUUAAAGUGACCAAGUCCUGUCAAAGCGGCAGGAUGGGGAAGCGUCUCCCUAAUUCCAGAAAUUUGAGACGUGAGUAACUAGGGUUUCGACGAGACCCGCCGAUUUCACUCAAUUCUAUACCCAACCAUUCUCCGUAUCUCGCCAUUAUUCGCGAACACUUUUCUGUAUGAAUCGGGUCUCGAUCCGAUUGCUCAUUGCCGCACCGGGUCCUUUUAAGCUUCGCCAGUCUUGCCGUCGUCAAUGGCAUCAAAGCCUAUGGCUGUCGCUUCUGCUAAUGUUAGAUUUGGGGCUACCAAUGACUCCUCGAUGGCACAAGGCCCAGGUCCGACUCCUGAGGAUGUGUUAUCGGUUAUUGAUUCAUUAAAAAAACAUAUAUCUGCUGAGCGGUGUGUUUCCAUCAAGAAAAGAAUGGAAGACAAUAGACAGAAGCUGACUGGCGUCACAAAUCAUCUUUAUAAAUCAUCAAUGGGAAGAAGAAUUUGUGGCAUUGCCGAUACUAAUGGAAAUCCAGACCUACUGACGAAGAGGCAAAAAGAUGCAAUCAAUAUGCGCAAUGAUAUUCAUGCAAGUAAUGGUGACAAGGAGAGCAACGGUUCCCAGGAUUGCAAUUUUUCUACAGCAGUCCUUCUAGGAUCUAACGUUGCAGUAAAGAAUGCUGUUCGCCCUAUCAAGCUGCCAGAAGCAAAAAGAUUACCUCCUUAUACUACGUGGAUUUUUCUGGACAGAAAUCAAAGAAUGACUGAGGAUCAGUCUGUAGUAGGUCGAAGGAGAAUUUAUUAUGACCAAAACGGUGGAGAGGCACUUAUCUGUAGUGACAGCGAAGAGGAAAUAAUUGAGGAAGAAGAGGAAAAAAGGGAUUUUGUGGAAUCUGAAGAUUAUAUACUUCGCAUGGCAGUCAAAGAAUUUGGUUUGUCUGAUCUUGUACUGGAGUCUCUGGCUCAGUGUUUCUCUAGAAACACUUGUGAACUUAAGGCAAGAUAUGAAGUUAUUAGUAAUGGAGAAAACAUUGGUGGGGUUUCUAAGAGUGCUGGUACUGAAGAGAAUUCACUAAGUGGAAACUCUUUUCUGGAAAAAGAUCUUGAAGCAGCUCUUGAUUCUUUUGACAACCUUUUCUGCCGUAGAUGUCUUGUUUUCGAUUGCAGAUUGCAUGGAUGUUCUCAGGAUCUUGUGUUUCCUGCUGAGAAACAACCUGUGUGGAUCCCUCCUAAUGCUGAAAGUACACCGUGUGGUCCAAAUUGUUUUCAAUUGGAACUAAAACCACAAAGAUUUGCCGGAUUGACCUCUUCUUCCCAGGGAGAUGCUGAGAAGAAAAGCUCAGGUGGUGCUGGGAUGCAUAUAGCAUAUAGGAAGAAGUCUUUUGGCCCAUCUGCUAGAAGGUGGGUAAAGGGCAGCCAAAGUGAAAGUACUUCAUCCAAUGCGAAGAACAUAUCUGAAAGUAGUGACUCAGAGAAUGGUAAUGGUCCUGGACAGGAAACUGCCUCAGCCUCCCACUCAGCAUCUCCUAAAACUAAAACUCUGGGGAAAGGUGGAAUAGGUACAAGGAACAGUAAGCGUGCAGCAGAAUGUGUCCUAGUUUGUUUGCAGAAAAGGCAGAAGAAAACACUGCUUUCAGAUUCUGAUUCCAUUGGUGAGGCUCCUGAUUGUUCAUUGAAUGGGAUAGCUUCUGACCCACCUGUCAGUAGUAGCAAUGACAUCUUGAGGAAGGAAGAAUUCUUUGAUGAGAAUGUAUGCACGCAACAAUGUACUGGCAAUAAGUUAUGGAAACCUCUUGAAAAGGGGCUUUUGGAGAAAGGAGUUGAAAUUUUUGGUAGAAACAGCUGUUUAAUUUCCAGGAAUCUCUUAAAUGGUCUAAAGACAUGUUGGGAGGUUUUCCAAUACAUUAAUUGCAACCAGGGAAAGGUGUCAGGCUCUACUGGUGAUGCUGAAAUUUCCCUCAUGGAAGGCUAUUCCAAGGGUAAUAAUGAAGUAAGACGAAGAUCAAGGUUUUUACGUAGAAGGGGAAGAGUUCGCCGCUUAAAGUACACCUGGAAGUCUGCUGCCUACCAUUCAAUCAGAAAAAGGAUCACAGAGAGAAAGGAUCAGCCCUGCCGGCAGUAUAAUCCAUGUGGCUGUCAAUCAGCAUGCGGAAAGCAGUGCCCUUGUCUUCAAAAUGGAACCUGCUGUGAGAAAUACUGUGGAUGCCCAAAGAGUUGCAAGAAUCGAUUUCGUGGCUGUCAUUGUGCAAAAAGUCAAUGCCGGAGUCGUCAAUGUCCAUGUUUUGCUGCAGAUAGGGAAUGUGAUCCAGAUGUUUGUAGAAAUUGUUGGGUCAGUUGCGGUGAUGGUACCCUAGGGAUUCCCAGCCAAAGGGGUGAUAAUUAUGAAUGUAGAAAUAUGAAGCUUCUUCUCAAACAGCAGCAAAGGUAUUGAAUCUUGCAGGUUAAUCGAGCUGAACAUGGAUGAUGGUUUGCCAUGUCAAAGCCAACGUUAUGUGGGGCAUGUUGUGAACAUUUCACGUUUGAAGCUAUGGAGACAUAAUUAAGUAAACUGGGUGCACCACAUCAUUUGUGAUCUAUCCAAUAAAAACAUAAUAUUUAGAUGUCAUUAAAUAUAAAUUAAUUCUAAUAUUAGCAAUAGUAGAGAGAAAAAAUAAGAAAUCAAAAGUGCAUUCUGUUAUAAAAAUAAAAUCAAUUAAAAAAAUGUCAAACAAGAUUUUAUUUAAAUCACUUGGAGCAUUUUUAUUGAACAGACCACAAAUGUCGUGAUAUAUCCAGUCUACCUAAGUAUUUCUCUAAAACUAUGAUAUAGGAUAAGAGGUUCUAAGUGGAAUAAUGAGCCAAGUGCCUAUAUGAUAAUGCAUUUUCUCAAUUUAGUCCUAAUGAGAAAAACUUGUUCUUACACACUACUGGGAUUUAUUGCGAUAAGGACUUGAUCUUUGUACUUUUUUAAGGAAAUUAAUAAAAAAAUAUAAUUAAAUAGAAAAGCAGAGGUUUUGAAAUUUUGAUAACUCUAUUUCAAGGGGGUUUGCGUGGACUUGUUCUAUUUCAUCAAUCAAAUCUUCAUGUGGGUUUUGUCUGUUCUUUGUUAUCCCCCUUGAGAUGAUGAGCCUCUUUUGUUGUCAAUUUACGUCCUAUAUAUAUAUAUAUAGGUUCUUCUUGGAAGGUCUGAUGUAUCUGGCUGGGGAGCUUUCUUAAAGAGCAGUGUUGGAAAGCAUGAAUACCUUGGAGAGUAUACUGGAGAGUUAAUUUCACAUCGGGAAGCAGAUAAGCGGGGAAAGAUAUAUGAUCGCGAGAAUUCA
RNA transcript from Prosopis cineraria, 3567 nucleotides. It is a transcript of the gene named histone-lysine N-methyltransferase CLF-like, with no coding region annotated. The record is from RefSeq and is a predicted model, not a curated record. The transcript has 16 exons. NCBI's taxonomy places the organism in Eukaryota, Viridiplantae, Streptophyta, Magnoliopsida, Fabales, Fabaceae.